RNAcentral lists this ribosomal RNA (1070 nucleotides) under Phocaeicola vulgatus. RNAcentral describes it as "partial 16S ribosomal RNA". Lineage: Bacteria; Pseudomonadati; Bacteroidota; Bacteroidia; Bacteroidales; Bacteroidaceae. The record is from RNAcentral.
CACGUGUGUAGCCCCGGACGUAAGGGCCGUGCUGAUUUGACGUCAUCCCCACCUUCCUCACAUCUUACGAUGGCAGUCUUGUCAGAGUCCUCAGCGGAACCUGUUAGUAACUGACAACAAGGGUUGCGCUCGUUAUGGCACUUAAGCCGACACCUCACGGCACGAGCUGACGACAACCAUGCAGCACCUUCACAGAUGCCUUGCGGCUUACGGCUUUCACCGUAAUUCAUCUGCAAUUUAAGCCCGGGUAAGGUUCCUCGCGUAUCAUCGAAUUAAACCACAUGUUCCUCCGCUUGUGCGGGCCCCCGUCAAUUCCUUUGAGUUUCACCGUUGCCGGCGUACUCCCCAGGUGGAAUACUUAACGCUUUCGCUUGGCCGCUUGCAGUAUAUCGCAAACAGCGAGUAUUCAUCGUUUACCGUGUGGACUACCAGGGUAUCUAAUCCUGUUUGAUACCCACACUUUCGAGCCUCAAUGUCAGUUGCAGCUUAGCAGGCUGCCUUCGCAAUCGGAGUUCUUCGUGAUAUCUAAGCAUUUCACCGCUACACCACGAAUUCCGCCUGCCUCAACUGCACUCAAGAUAUCCAGUAUCAACUGCAAUUUUACGGUUGAGCCGCAAACUUUCACAACUGACUUAAACAUCCAUCUACGCUCCCUUUAAACCCAAUAAAUCCGGAUAACGCUCGGAUCCUCCGUAUUACCGCGGCUGCUGGCACGGAGUUAGCCGAUCCUUAUUCAUAAAGUACAUGCAAACGGGUAUCCAUACCCGACUUUAUUCCUUUAUAAAAGAAGUUUACAACCCAUAGGGCAGUCAUCCUUCACGCUACUUGGCUGGUUCAGGCUCUCGCCCAUUGACCAAUAUUCCUCACUGCUGCCUCCCGUAGGAGUUUGGACCGUGUCUCAGUUCCAAUGUGGGGGACCUUCCUCUCAGAACCCCUAUCCAUCGAAGACUAGGUGGGCCGUUACCCCGCCUACUAUCUAAUGGAACGCAUCCCCAUCGUCUACCGGAAUACCUUUAAUCAUGUGAACAUGCGGACUCAUGAUGCCAUCUUGUAUUAAUCUUCCUUUCAGA